CGGCGGACGGGUGAGUAACGCGUGGGGAACCUACCUCGCACCGGGGGAUAACAGCCGGAAACGGCUGCUAAUACCGCAUAAGCGCACAGCAUCGCAUGAUGCAGUGUGAAAAACUCCGGUGGUGUGAGAUGGACCCGCGUUAGAUUAGCUUGUUGGUGGGGUAACGGCCCACCAAGGCGACGAUCUAUAGCCGGCCUGAGAGGGCGACCGGCCACAUUGGGACUGAGACACGGCCCAAACUCCUACGGGAGGCAGCAGUGGGGAAUAUUGCACAAUGGGCGAAAGCCUGAUGCAGCGACGCCGCGUGAACGAAGAAGUAUCUCGGUAUGUAAAGUUCUAUCAGCAGGGAAGAAAAUGACGGUACCUGACUAAGAAGCCCCGGCUAACUACGUGCCAGCAGCCGCGGUAAUACGUAGGGGGCAAGCGUUAUCCGGAUUUACUGGGUGUA
Molecule: ribosomal RNA, 448 nt
Filed under: uncultured bacterium
Lineage: Bacteria
Description: bacterial SSU rRNA
Rfam family: Bacterial small subunit ribosomal RNA
Source: RNAcentral